GAUGAACGCUGGCGGCGUGCCUAAUACAUGCAAGUCGAGCGAACAGACGAGGAGCUUGCUCCUCUGACGUUAGCUGCGGACGGGUGAGUAACACGUGGAUAACCUACCUAUAAGACUGGGAUAACUUCGGGAAACCGGAGCUAAUACCGGAUAAUAUAUUGAACCGCAUGGUUCAAUAGUGAGAUACGGUUUUGCUGUCACUUAUAGAUGGAUCCGCGCCUCAUUAGCUAGUUGGUAAGGUAACUGCUUACCAAGGCAACGAUGCGUAGCCGACCUGAGAGGGUGAUCGGACACACGGGAACUGAGACACGGUCCAGACUCCUAGGGGAGGCAGCAGCAGGGAAUCUUCCGCAAUGGGCGAAAGCCUGACGGAGCAACGCCGCGUGAGUGAUGAAGGUCUUCGAAUCGUAAAACUCUGUUAUUAGGGAAGAACAAAUGUGUAAGUAACUAUGCACGUCUUGACGGUACCUAAUCAGAAAGCCACGGCUAACUACGUG
This 497-nucleotide ribosomal RNA is filed under the name uncultured bacterium. RNAcentral's name for it is "partial 16S ribosomal RNA". It matches the Rfam family "Bacterial small subunit ribosomal RNA", at positions 28 to 507 of the family's 1533-position model. The record is from RNAcentral.